UCUUUACGGAAUAUCCCGUUAAAGCGUGUAGAUGUUGAUAGAGUAGGCAAAUCCGCUCUUGAAUCGAACGUGAUAGUACUCAAGGUUUCGAACUGAGAGAUAGUGUACCUAAUCAGACUUCCUAGAAAAACCUCUAAGCUUCAGGUAUAAGCAGCCCGUACCGUAAACCGACACAGGUAGACGAGGAGAGUAUCCUCAGGCGCUCGAGUGAGUCACGGCUAAGGAACUCGGCAAAAUGGACCCGUAACUUCGGGAGAAGGGUCGCCUCAGCAAUGAGGCCGCAGUGAAAAGUAUCAGGCGACUGUUUAACAAAAACACAGGGCUCUGCAAAAUCGAAAGAUGAAGUAUAGGGCCUGACACCUGCCCGGUGCUGGAAGGUUAAGGAAGGCUGUUAGCCGCAAGGCAAAGCUUCCGACUGAAGCCCCAGUAAACGGCGGCCGUAACUAUAACGGUCCUAAGGUAGCGAAAUUCCUUGUCGGGUAAGUUCCGACCUGCACGAAUGGUGUAACGAUCUGAUAACUGUCUCAGCCGUGAGCUCGGUGAAAUUGUAGUCCCGGUGAAGAUGCCGGGUACCCGUAACGGGACGGAAAGACCCCGUGAACCUUCACUACAACUUUGCAUUGACUUUGAGUAAACGAUGUGUAGCAUAGGUGGGAGACUUUAGAGCGGGCACGCUAGUGUUCGUGGAGUCAACGUUGAAAUACCACCCUUUGUUUACUUAGAGCCUAAUCCGCUAAGCGGAGAAAGUGCAUGGUGGGUAGUUUGACUGGGGUGGUCGCCUCCAAAAGAGUAACGGAGGCUUCCAAAGGUACCCUCAGCACGCUUGGUAACCGUGCGCAGAGUGUAUUAGCAUAAGGGUGCUUGACUGUGAGACCGACGGGUCGAGCAGGUACGAAAGUAGGGUAAAGUGAUCCGGUGGUUCUGCAUGGAAGGGCCAUCGCUCAAAGGAUAAAAGGUACUCCGGGGAUAACAGGCUGAUCUCCCCCAAGAGCUCAUAUCGACGGGGAGGUUUGGCACCUCGAUGUCGGCUCGUCACAUCCUGGGGCUGGAGAAGGUCCCAAGGGUUGAGCUGUUCGCUCAUUAAAGUGGCACGCGAGCUGGGUUCAGAACGUCGCAAGACAGUUCGGUCCCUAUCUGUUAUGGGCGUUUGAGAUUUGAGAAGAUCUGUUUCUAGUACGAGAGGACCGGAAUGGACUGACCUCUAGUGUACCGGUUAUGUCGCCAGAUGUACCGCCGGGUAGCUACGUUGGGAAGGGAUAAGCGCUGAAAGCAUCCAA
RNAcentral lists this ribosomal RNA (1277 nucleotides) under metagenome. Its description in RNAcentral is "bacterial LSU rRNA". It matches the Rfam family "Bacterial large subunit ribosomal RNA", at positions 1488 to 2784 of the family's 2925-position model. The record is from RNAcentral.